This 467-nucleotide ribosomal RNA is filed under the name uncultured bacterium. Its description in RNAcentral is "partial 16S ribosomal RNA". It matches the Rfam family "Bacterial small subunit ribosomal RNA", at positions 28 to 506 of the family's 1533-position model. The record is from RNAcentral.
GACGAACGCUGGCGGCGUGCUUAACACAUGCAAGUCGAACGGAAAGGCCCUGCUUUUGUGGGGUGCUCGAGUGGCGAACGGGUGAGUAACACGUGAGUAACCUGCCCUUGACUUUGGGAUAACUUCAGGAAACUGGGGCUAAUACCGGAUAGGAGCUCCUGCUGCAUGGUGGGGGUUGGAAAGUUUCGGCGGUUGGGGAUGGACUCGCGGCUUAUCAGCUUGUUGGUGGGGUAGUGGCUUACCAAGGCUUUGACGGGUAGCCGGCCUGAGAGGGUGACCGGCCACAUUGGGACUGAGAUACGGCCCAGACUCCUACGGGAGGCAGCAGUGGGGAAUAUUGCACAAUGGGCGGAAGCAUGAUGCAGCAACGCCGCGUGCGGGAUGACGGCCUUCGGGUUGUAAACCGCUUUCGCCUGUGACGAAGCGUGAGUGAGGGUAAUGGGGAAAGAAGCACCGGCGAACUACGU